UGGGGAAUAUUGCACAAUGGGCGCAAGCCUGAUGCAGCACCGCCGCGUGAAGGAAGACGGUUUUCGGAUUGUAACCUUCUGUUCUUAGUGAAGAAGAAUGACGGUAGCUAAGGAGCAAGCAAUGGAUACCUACGUGCCAGCAGCCGCGGUAAUACGUAGGUGGCAAGCGUUGUCCGGAAUUACUGGGUGUAAAGGGAGCGCAGGCGGGGGAACAAGUCAGUUGUGAAAUCCAUGGGCUUAACCCGUGAACUGCAGUUGAAACUGUUCUUCUUGAGUGAAGUAGAGGUUGGCGGAAUUCCGAGUGUAGCGGUGAAAUGCGUAGAUAUUCGGAGGAACACCGGUGGCGAAGGCGGCCAACUGGGCUUUUACUGACGCUGAGGCUCGAAAGUGUGGGGAGCAAACAGG
RNAcentral lists this ribosomal RNA (405 nucleotides) under uncultured bacterium. RNAcentral describes it as "bacterial SSU rRNA". It matches the Rfam family "Bacterial small subunit ribosomal RNA", at positions 355 to 776 of the family's 1533-position model. The record is from RNAcentral.